RNAcentral lists this ribosomal RNA (440 nucleotides) under uncultured bacterium. Its description in RNAcentral is "bacterial SSU rRNA". It matches the Rfam family "Bacterial small subunit ribosomal RNA", at positions 338 to 795 of the family's 1533-position model. The record is from RNAcentral.
CCUACGGGUGGCUGCAGUGGGGAAUAUUGCACAAUGGGGGAAACCCUGAUGCAGCAACGCCGCGUGAGCGAUGAAGGGCUUCGAGUCGUAAAGCUCUGUCCUAAGGGAAGAAUACUGACGGUACCUUAGGAGGAAGCCCCGGCUAACUACGUGCCAGCAGCCGCGGUAAUACGUAGGGGGCUAGCGUUAUCCGGAAUUACUGGGCGUAAAGGGCGCGUAGGCGGACCUGCAAGUCAGAGGUGAAAGGCAACGGAUCAACCGUAGUAAGCAUUUGAAACUGUAGGGCUUGAGUGAAGGAAAGGAGAGUGGAAUUCCCAGUGUAGCUGUGAAAGGCGUAGAUAUUUGGCGGACCACCAGUUGCGAAGGCGGCUCUCUAGACUGUAACUCACGCUGCGGCACGAAAGCGUGGGUAGCGAACAGGAUUAGAUACCCCUGUAGUC